Molecule: ribosomal RNA, 804 nt
Filed under: Marmoricola sp.
Lineage: Bacteria; Bacillati; Actinomycetota; Actinomycetes; Propionibacteriales; Nocardioidaceae
Description: bacterial SSU rRNA
Rfam family: Bacterial small subunit ribosomal RNA
Source: RNAcentral
CGGUAAGGCCCCUUCGGGGGUACACGAGCGGCGAACGGGUGAGUAACACGUGAGCAAUCUACCCAUCACAUCGGGAUAACUCCGGGAAACCGAAGCUAAUACCGAAUACGACCACCUCAGGCAUCUGAUGGUGGUGGAAAGUUCCGGCGGUGAUGGAUGAGCUCGCGGCCUAUCAGCUUGUUGGUGGGGUAACGGCCCACCAAGGCUUCGACGGGUAGCCGGCCUGAGAGGGUGACCGGCCACACUGGGACUGAGACACGGCCCAGACUCCUACGGGAGGCAGCAGUGGGGAAUAUUGGACAAUGGGCGAAAGCCUGAUCCAGCAACGCCGCGUGAGGGAUGACGGCCUUCGGGUUGUAAACCUCUUUCAGCAGGGACGAAGCGAAAGUGACGGUACCUGCAGAAGAAGCACCGGCCAACUACGUGCCAGCAGCCGCGGUAAUACGUAGGGUGCGAGCGUUGUCCGGAAUUAUUGGGCGUAAAGGGCUCGUAGGCGGUCUGUCGCGUCGGGAGUGAAAACUCAGGGCUUAACCCUGAGCCUGCUUCCGAUACGGGCAGACUAGAGGUAUGCAGGGGAGAAUGGAAUUCCUGGUGUAGCGGUGAAAUGCGCAGAUAUCAGGAGGAACACCGGUGGCGAAGGCGGUUCUCUGGGCAUUACCUGACGCUGAGGAGCGAAAGUGUGGGGAGCGAACAGGAUUAGAUACCCUGGUAGUCCACACCGUAAACGUUGGGCGCUAGGUGUGGGACUCAUUCCACGAGUUCCGUGCCGCAGCUAACGCAUUAAGCGCCCCGCCUGGGGAGUAC